CGGGGCUUUGUGCAGCUUGGUAGUGCGCCUGCCUUGGGAGCAGGAGGUCGCGAGUUCAAAUCUCGCAGCCCCGA
RNAcentral lists this transfer RNA (74 nucleotides) under Firmicutes bacterium CAG:345. It matches the Rfam family "tRNA". Rfam says of the family: Transfer RNA (tRNA) molecules are approximately 80 nucleotides in length. Their secondary structure includes four short double-helical elements and three loops (D, anti-codon, and T loops). Further hydrogen bonds mediate the characteristic L-shaped molecular structure. tRNAs have two regions of fundamental functional importance: the anti-codon, which is responsible for specific mRNA codon recognition, and the 3' end, to which the tRNAs corresponding amino acid is attached (by aminoacyl-tRNA synthetases). tRNAs cope with the degeneracy of the genetic code in two manners: having more than one tRNA (with a specific anti-codon) for a particular amino acid; and 'wobble' base-pairing, i.e. permitting non-standard base-pairing at the 3rd anti-codon position. The record is from Rfam by way of RNAcentral. Lineage: Bacteria; Bacillati; Bacillota.